Molecule: ribosomal RNA, 492 nt
Filed under: uncultured bacterium
Lineage: Bacteria
Description: partial 16S ribosomal RNA
Rfam family: Bacterial small subunit ribosomal RNA
Source: RNAcentral
AGUGAACGCUGGCGGUAGGCCUAACACAUGCAAGUCGAACGGCAGCACAGUAAGAGCUUGCUCUUACGGGUGGCGAGUGGCGGACGGGUGAGGAAUACAUCGGAAUCUACUUUUUCGUGGGGGAUAACGUAGGGAAACUUACUCUAAUACCGCAUACGACCUACGGGUGAAAGCAGGGGAUCUUCUGACCUUGCGCGAUUGAAUGAGCCGAUGUCGGAUUAGCUAGUUGGCGGGGUAAAGGCCCACCCAGGCGACGAUCCGUAGCUGGUCUGAGAGGAUGAUAAGCCACAUUGGAACGGAGACACGGUCAAGACUCCUAAGGGAGGCAGCAGUGGGGAAUAUUGGACAAUGGGCGCAAGCCUGAUCCAGCCAGACCGCGUGGGUGAAGAAGGCCUUCGGGUUGUAAAGCCCUUUUGUUGGGAAAGAAAAGCAGCAGGUUAAUACCCAGCUGUUCUGACGGUACCCAAAGAAUAAGCACCGGCUAACUUCGUG